Molecule: long non-coding RNA, 1790 nt
Filed under: Sorghum bicolor (sorghum)
Lineage: Eukaryota; Viridiplantae; Streptophyta; Magnoliopsida; Poales; Poaceae
Description: long non-coding RNA (SBIC_LNC001344)
Source: RNAcentral
AAACAUGGAGCCCUUGUUGAUAAGGUAAAUCAGUACUUAUCCCAUCUUUACUCAAUGCAUUUCAAUUCUUGCAUUUCCCUUCCAAUUGCAUGCUUAGUUUAGUUUUGUAUAUUUCCCUUCGACAAAAUGCUUAGGAAUAAUACAUGAGAAUCUUAAGAACAACUUGCAAUAUAGUUUUGACCUGUGGAUCACCUAGAGGUGGGUCGGCCGACCCCACCAUUGGGCCCACUUACAGUCUUUCACUUUGGCUUGAUGCAAUGUGUCGAGGUCAGCACUUGGAUGCUCCUAGAGCUUUCAAGUUGGGGUCGGUCGACCCCAAGACUUGCCCUCUUGGCAGUCUGUUAUCUCCCAUUUGCUUUGCUUUAGAAUCCCAUGCAUGACACGCAAGCCAAAGUCUAAAAAGAAAUGGUUCGUUUGGGACCUAUGCACCAGCUUAAACCUCUAAAGUGGUCUCCUAGACAUGCUCUAGUGCUGUCAUGAUCACUGACAACCACUUUAAGCAUAUCUCCACUUUUGCAAAUCAUCUUUUCUCUUUCACAUAGCACUAGGCAAGGGACUCUUAUAAAAGAACUUUACUUCUUGUCCACGCCUAGGCUUUACUUUAGUAGACACUUAAUGCCACAUCAUUUAGAGUGCUAAAGUGCUUAGGGUAUGGGUCGGCCGACCCCUACAUUGGCUAAUCUUUGGAAAAGAGUUCAUAUAUGUUGCAAGAUUCCCUGUCAUGAUUCAAAACUUUGAAACAUAGUGCUUAUAGAGAGGUCGGCCGACCCCCACAUUGGGGUCUUCACCACUUGCCCUUCUGCACCUAUAAAUACCCAUGCAUUGUGAGCUCAAUUCCACACCCAAAACCACCAAAAUUAUCUCGAGCUCACAAUCCCUCUUCUCUCUUCUUAGUUGCAAGUUAUUUCUCAAGAUUAGAAUAGUUGCCUUUCAAAAAAAAACCAAAAAAAAAUAUAUUAGUCUUGCAUAGGAGUAGAAGUAGGAAAAAAUUUAGUUGUCUGUGUUGUGCAGGAAAAUGGAGAAAGCAUUCCUCUCCCGAUUCUAGAAGUCCAAAGGGGGUGAGAGUUGUUCUCAAAGCUCUCAUCACUCUAAUGAGGGAAGCCAUGAGAGGAUGGAGGAAGGGGAGAGUCGCCAUCAAGUGGUGCUCUACGAACGUCCUCCAAGAGCAAUGGAGCCUGAAGAAUGAACUCAUAUUAACACUGGAAGAGUUGAUCAAGUUCAACAACCUAAAGGAGAGCGGUUUCCGCCAUACAAGCAUCCUCGACCCGGCCCUUGUGGACCACACAGGUAUGAUUAAAGAAUUUAAUGAUAUUUUAAUACCAUUGGUUUGGGAGGUUUUUGGUGAGUGCCUUAAACUUGGUAUAGAAGUGCUCACUAAAGAAUUUUUAUGCACACUAAAAUUGAAUCAUAACAUUUCGCAUGUGUGGGCAAGAGUGUAGCUAUACUUGGGGUCUUCUAGCCACUGCUCUAGGUUGUGACUUUGAUUGUACAAUUGACUUAGACAUUGAAAGCCCAAGUUUGGUUUUGGUAAUUAAUAACACCAAGUUGCUAAUGCCUUGUGUUUAAGUGUUUUGAGUUAGGCAUAGCAACACAUGUGAUGAAGGUGCAUGGUGGCAUGGAAAGGUGGCCACAUGAUCACAAAGGGAUGAAGCAUGAAGUGAAGAUCAUGGUGAUAGAAGAGGAGCAAAGUUAUCAAGGCAAAGGUAUAAACAUAGGGUUUUACUUUUGCCGGUCUAAGAUGAGUAGAGAAGUGAUUGACCGGGUUUAGGGAUAGAUAACCGACUAUCAAG